RNAcentral lists this unclassified non-coding RNA (324 nucleotides) under uncultured Inocybe. Its description in RNAcentral is "sequence contains ITS1". The stretch from base 1 to 105 matches the Rfam family "5.8S ribosomal RNA", at positions 50 to 154 of the family's 154-position model. Lineage: Eukaryota; Fungi; Basidiomycota; Agaricomycetes; Agaricales; Cortinariaceae. The record is from RNAcentral.
GAAAUGCGAUAAGUAAUGUGAAUUGCAGAAUUCAGUGAAUCAUCGAAUCUUUGAAUGCAUCUUGCGCUCCUUGGUAUUCCGAGGAGCAUGCCUGUUUGAGUGUCAUUAAAUUCUCAAACCAUGACUUUUUUGUUAUGGCUUGGAUAGUUGGGUGUUGCCAGCUUUUUAUUGUAGGCUCACCUUAAAUACAUAAGUGGUGUAUUUAGAAACUUGUUAGGUGUUGUAAAUUAUCAAUACAUCUAUGUUUCUCUGAAUAUACUGCUUCUAACAACCUCAUCUGAUGAUUUUGACCUCAAAUCAGGUAGGACUACCCGCUGAACUUAA